This 344-nucleotide unclassified non-coding RNA is filed under the name Hevea brasiliensis (rubber tree). The record is from RNAcentral. Lineage: Eukaryota; Viridiplantae; Streptophyta; Magnoliopsida; Malpighiales; Euphorbiaceae.
UUCUUUUUUUUUUUUUUUUUGGCUAAUCUAACUUGGAAGCAAGAAAAUGAGAAGAAAAAAGAGUAUAUGGUAGUCAAGUGGGCCUUUAAUCUUUUCUCUUCUCCUUGAGAAAGAUCAUAUGUGAGGGAGAGAUUUGGUUUUGUUACAAGAAUAGAUAAAAAGCUUUGAAAGAGGUUUUGUUGAUUUAUGCUUUAAAGCCUGAAGGAGGAAGAAGGAAGGGUGAAGAGCAGCAAGAGAGCUUAAAGGGUAAGAGCUAAAGACUCAUAAAUCUUCAUCAACAAACAAACAUGCUCAAGAAAGAGAGAGUGAGUGAACGGUAGAUAGAGAUGAGAGAGAGAGAGAGA